This 26-nucleotide non-coding RNA is filed under the name Cricetulus griseus (Chinese hamster). The record is from RNAcentral. Lineage: Eukaryota; Metazoa; Chordata; Mammalia; Rodentia; Cricetidae.
AGAAAUGACUGUCUGAGGAAUGGAGC